RNAcentral lists this ribosomal RNA (233 nucleotides) under uncultured bacterium. RNAcentral describes it as "partial 16S ribosomal RNA". It matches the Rfam family "Bacterial small subunit ribosomal RNA", at positions 117 to 334 of the family's 1533-position model. The record is from RNAcentral.
GUAGGGUAAUCUACCUUCGGAUGGGGAAUAACAAUCGGAAACGGUUGCUAAUACCGCAUAAUGCAGCGGCACCUAAUGGUGACAGUUGUUAAAGCGGGGGAUCGAAAGACCUCGCGUCUGAAGAGGAGCCUGCGGCGGAUUAGCUAGUUGGUAAGGUAAUGGCUUACCAAGGCAACGAUCCGUAACCGGCCUGAGAGGGCGGUCGGUCACACUGACACUGACAUACGGGUCAG